UGCGGUAACAUUUUUUUCUUCAGGUUAACAUAUUUUCAAAUGAAACAAGUGCAUGUAAAUAUUUUGAAUAUGUAUUACAAUGGUGGGGAUAUGGUUUUGAUAUACAACAGAAAACAAUAUAAGGAUAGAAAUUUCACAUAAACGGAUUUUUUCUCCAUCUUAAUAGUUGCUGCAAGGUCUUCAAUGAUACAGAACUCAUUUCAUAUUCCUUUAUAACAUGUGUAACAGUGCUAGAUGUUUAUUAUCAUAAAUAUUCACUAUAAAUACAUGUCAUACAUGAAUAAGGGAAAAUAAAACAAAUUGCAAAAACUUUCUGCACAUAUACCAUCGAUAUGCAUCUAACGCAACUACAUAAAACAUACGGUAGACGCUUUCAUAAACUUUACAAUAGCUAUGAACAAUCGUAACUCGCCAAGUUAGUCGCAUGCGGCGCACUCGACUCUGCGAUAAACUAUUUCUUUACGCCUCGUAGCGUAUAAACCAGCCAAACAAGAAAGUUUGUACGUCAUUUGUAGUUUAGUGUUUGACUUAAGCUCCUACAUCCGUUCCGAGAAAUUCGACACAAAUUGUUAUGUAUGUUUUGUUGAUGCUUUAAUUUUGUUCUCCUAAAGUUCUAUGCUCAAGCAAAAUAUAGUGUUAACUUGUGUACAACGAAGUAUCAUGUGAUGAUUUCAUAGUACGUAUAGAUAUUAUAAUUUGU
RNAcentral lists this long non-coding RNA (700 nucleotides) under Mytilus galloprovincialis (Mediterranean mussel). The record is from RNAcentral. Lineage: Eukaryota; Metazoa; Mollusca; Bivalvia; Mytilida; Mytilidae.